GCGCUAUCAGAUGAGCCUAGGUCGGAUUAGCUAGUUGGUGAGGUAAUGGCUCACCAAGGCGACGAUCCGUAACUGGUCUGAGAGGAUGAUCAGUCACACUGGAACUGAGACACGGUCCAGACUCCUACGGGAGGCAGCAGUGGGGAAUAUUGGACAAUGGGCGAAAGCCUGAUCCAGCCAUGCCGCGUGUGUGAAGAAGGUCUUCGGAUUGUAAAGCACUUUAAGUUGGGAGGAAGGGCAUUAACCUAAUACGUUAGUGUUUUGACGUUACCGACAGAAUAAGCACCGG
This 289-nucleotide ribosomal RNA is filed under the name uncultured bacterium KC111. Its description in RNAcentral is "partial 16S rRNA". It matches the Rfam family "Bacterial small subunit ribosomal RNA", at positions 215 to 496 of the family's 1533-position model. Lineage: Bacteria; Pseudomonadati; Pseudomonadota; Gammaproteobacteria. The record is from RNAcentral.